AAUGGGGGCAACCCUGAUCCAGCCAUGCCGCGUGAGUGAAGAAGGCCUUCGGGUUGUAAAGCUCUUUCGGCCGGGAAGAAAUCGCAUCAGCUAAUACCUGGUGUGGAUGACGGUACCGGAAUAAGAAGCACCGGCUAACUACGUGCCAGCAGCCGCGGUAAUACGUAGGGUGCGAGCGUUAAUCGGAAUUACUGGGCGUAAAGCGUGCGCAGGCGGUUUUUUAAGAUAGGCGUGAAAUCCCCGGGCUCAACCUGGGAACUGCGCUUAUGACUGGAAGACUAGAGUAUGGCAGAGGGGGGUGGAAUUCCACGUGUAGCAGUGAAAUGCGUAGAGAUGUGGAGGAACACCGAUGGCGAAGGCAGCCCCCUGGGCCAAUACUGACGCUCAUGCACGAAAGCGUGGGGAGCAAA
RNAcentral lists this ribosomal RNA (410 nucleotides) under uncultured bacterium. Its description in RNAcentral is "bacterial SSU rRNA". It matches the Rfam family "Bacterial small subunit ribosomal RNA", at positions 370 to 772 of the family's 1533-position model. The record is from RNAcentral.